Small nuclear RNA from Rhinopithecus bieti (black snub-nosed monkey), 165 nucleotides. Its record names the gene U1. It matches the Rfam family "U1 spliceosomal RNA". From Rfam's summary of the family: U1 is a small nuclear RNA (snRNA) component of the spliceosome (involved in pre-mRNA splicing). Its 5' end forms complementary base pairs with the 5' splice junction, thus defining the 5' donor site of an intron. The record is from Ensembl. Lineage: Eukaryota; Metazoa; Chordata; Mammalia; Primates; Cercopithecidae.
AUACUUACUUGGCAGGGGAGAUACCAUGAUUACGAUAGGUGAUUUUCCCAGGGCGAGGUUUAUCCAUUGCACUCUGGAUGUGCUGACCCCUGCGGUUUCCCCAAAUGCGGUAAACUCCAUUGCAUAAUUUGUGGUAGUGGGGGACUGCGUUCGCGUUUUCCCCUG